Non-coding RNA from Peromyscus maniculatus bairdii (prairie deer mouse), 841 nucleotides. The record is from RefSeq and is a predicted model, not a curated record. NCBI's taxonomy places the organism in Eukaryota, Metazoa, Chordata, Mammalia, Rodentia, Cricetidae.
GGUGUCUGUAUGAGACAAGUCUCUGCAGUGAGAUCUAUAUACGAGGGCUCCGGCGCUUAAGCAAAAUGAGAAGUCCCAGAGUCCAACCUUCUGCAAACUGGAGAGCCUGAAAAGGCAGUGAUGAAAUUCAGUCCAGGUAUGAUGGCCAUGGAGAGCCAAGGGAGGCCACUAGGACAGGUUGCCUGGAGUCUCGAGGCUGGAGAAUCAGAAGCUCUGAUUUCUGAGGCAAGAAACGAUGGCUUUCGACUAGACAUUGGACAUAUCACCUCACACUCUCACUCUGAGAUUAGGGAGCACUGUGAAAGAGUCAGUGAAGAGAUGUGAAGUAGGUCACACCCACCCUCGUUGAGGCUACCAGGAAACACCCUCCCAGGCAUAAUCAGGCAUGAAGCUGAUGCCCAGCUCUCUGGGCAUCCCACAGUCCAGUCUGGUUGACAACUUUAUGAGCACCAUCAGUGAGCUCCAGAUGAAGUGAUGUCAGUGAUAAAAGGAGCUUACUUUGGGCUGAGGAUCUCGGGGGAAGUGUCAGAGAAAAGGUGACUUUGAACCGGAUCUUGAAGGAUAGAAAGGUUUUGCAGAUUAAAACCAACCAACGGGGAAUUUUCCGAGGCUGGCAGUCACAGCUUUCUCUUCAGACAGCUUUUCCUCCAGCCAUGCAGACGGGGGAAGAAAAUUGUACAAUUGCCCUGCAGGAACGAUGAGGUGGAUACCAGCACACAGUAAGCACUCAAUGGCAUGUUAUGUGUUCAAGAUUAUUGUUUUAUUGGCCCUACUGUGGAUCAACAGAAUGACCUUGGACCUACUUUUCUUCUGUGUAAAUAAUAAAGAUAGAUGCUUCCCA